GGCGGGCCUCCCCGCAUGGCUAGAGGAUGAACCUGGUCAGGUCCGGAAGGAAGCAGCCACAGUCUUUGAUGCCAGUGCCGGGGGUCGGGCUCGCCACCU
This 99-nucleotide signal recognition particle RNA is filed under the name Formivibrio citricus. Its description in RNAcentral is "Bacterial small signal recognition particle RNA". It matches the Rfam family "Bacterial small signal recognition particle RNA". Rfam says of the family: The signal recognition particle (SRP) is a universally conserved ribonucleoprotein involved in the co-translational targeting of proteins to membranes. Archaeal SRP consists of a 7S RNA and homologues of the eukaryotic SRP19 and SRP54 proteins. In most bacteria, the SRP consists of a 4.5S RNA and the Ffh protein (a homologue of the eukaryotic SRP54 protein). Lineage: Bacteria; Pseudomonadati; Pseudomonadota; Betaproteobacteria; Neisseriales; Chitinibacteraceae. The record is from RNAcentral.